GUGCUCACUUCUGCAGCACAUAAACUAAAAUUGGAAAGAUACAAAGAAAAUUAGCAUGGCUUCUAUGCAAGGAUGACACUCAAAGAGGAAAAAUUUUGACAACCAUG
Suncus etruscus (white-toothed pygmy shrew) is the source of this 107-nucleotide small nuclear RNA. The record is from RefSeq and is a predicted model, not a curated record. Lineage: Eukaryota; Metazoa; Chordata; Mammalia; Eulipotyphla; Soricidae.